CAUGUAGGCGGAUUGAUAAGUUUGAAGUGAAACCCUAUAGCUUAACUAUAGAACUGCUUUGAAAACUGUUAAUCUAGAAUGUGGGAGAGGUAGAUGGAAUUUCUGGUGUAGGGGUAAAAUCCGUAGAGAUCAGAAGGAAUACCGAUUGCGAAGGCGAUCUACUGGAACAUUAUUGACGCUGAGAUGCGAAAGCGUGGGGAGCAAACA
This 207-nucleotide ribosomal RNA is filed under the name uncultured bacterium. Its description in RNAcentral is "partial 16S ribosomal RNA". It matches the Rfam family "Bacterial small subunit ribosomal RNA", at positions 568 to 774 of the family's 1533-position model. The record is from RNAcentral.